This 460-nucleotide ribosomal RNA is filed under the name uncultured bacterium. Its description in RNAcentral is "partial 16S ribosomal RNA". It matches the Rfam family "Bacterial small subunit ribosomal RNA", at positions 338 to 795 of the family's 1533-position model. The record is from RNAcentral.
UCUACGGGUGGCAGCAGUGAGGAAUAUUGGUCAAUGGACGAGAGUCUGAACCAGCCAAGUAGCGUGAAGGAUGACUGCCCUAUGGGUUGUAAACUUCUUUUAUAAAGGAAUAAAACGAGGCACGUGUGCCUUUUUGCAUGUACUUUAUGAAUAAGGAUCGGCUAACUCCGUGCCAGCAGCCGCGGUAAUACGGAGGAUCCGAGCGUUAUCCGGAUUUAUUGGGGUUAAAGGGAGCGUAGAUGGGUAGUUAAGUCAGUUGUGAAAUUUUGCGGCUCAACCGUAAAAUUGCAAUUGAUACUGGCAGUCUUGAGUACAGUUGAGGUAGGUGGAAUGCGUGGUGUAGCGGUGAAAUGCAUAGAUAUCACGCAGAACUCCGAUUGCGAAGGCAGCAUACCGGCGCCCAACUGACGCUGAAGCACGAAAGCGUGGGUAUCGAACAGGAUUAGAUACCCGAGUAGUC